GAUGAAGAACGUAGCGAAAUGCGAUACUUGGUGUGAAUUGCAGAAUCCCGUGAACCAUCGAGUGUUUGAACGCAAGUUGCGCCCGAAGCCAUCAGGUUGAGGGCACGUCUGCCUGGGCGUCACAUAUCGUUGCCCAAUGCCUAUUGCAGUGCAAUAGGAAUUUCUAGGGCGAAUGAUGGCUUCCCGUGAGCGUUGUUGCCUCGCGGUUGGUUGAAAAUCGAGUCCUUGGUAGGGUGUGCCAUGGUAGAUGGUGGUCGAGUUAGAACGAUACCGAUCAUGUGCAUGCUCCCCAAAAUAUGGCCUCUAUGACCCACACGCGUCUUUUGACGCUCAUGACGAGACCUCAGGUCAGGCGGGGCUACCCGCUGAAUUUAAGCAUAUCAAUAAGCGGAGGA
This 395-nucleotide unclassified non-coding RNA is filed under the name soil metagenome. RNAcentral describes it as "partial contains 5.8S ribosomal RNA, internal transcribed spacer 2, and large subunit ribosomal RNA". The stretch from base 1 to 122 matches the Rfam family "5.8S ribosomal RNA", at positions 35 to 154 of the family's 154-position model. The record is from RNAcentral.